Molecule: ribosomal RNA, 253 nt
Filed under: uncultured bacterium
Lineage: Bacteria
Description: partial 16S ribosomal RNA
Rfam family: Bacterial small subunit ribosomal RNA
Source: RNAcentral
UACAGGGGGGGCAAGCGUUGUUCGGAAUUACUGGGCGUAAAGGGUUCGUAGGCGGCCACUUAAGUCAGACGUGAAAUCCCUCAGCUUAACUGGGGAACUGCGUCUGAUACUGAGUGGCUUGAGUGCAGGAGAGGAAUGCGGAAUUCCAGGUGUAGCGGUGAAAUGCGUAGAUAUCUGGAGGAACACCGGUGGCGAAGGCGGCAUUCUGGACUGUAACUGACACUGAGGAACGAAAGCCAGGGGAGCAAACGGG